GCAGCACAGAAGGGGCCGUUCUAAAGUUAACUUACUGCAUCAGGAGGUUCUCCCUCUCAGUUCUGGAGCUAUCAGACAGACUCAACUGACUGUUCUGCAGGACUGUGCUAUUUCUAUCCAGUGAUGGUGAACUUUUAAAAAAAAGCAAUUGAGCAAUGCUAUAGCCUACUACAUUAAUUUGACAACACUUAUAAAAUGGAUUAAAACAGCACCUGAACGGCCAAACUAAGAAAAAAGAUGGAGUAUUCUGACGACGACUUCCAUACCUUUUAUGGACCUUGACACUGUUAUUUACUUGGCAGUCUAUGGGACAGUCUCAAGCCUCCAGGUUUUCAUCCAAAAUAUCUUAAAUUGUGUUCCGAAGACGAACUGAGCUUUUACGGGCUUGGAACGACAUGGGGGAACCUAUAGAGCUCACAAGGACUUUUUUGAAAUUUGGCAUUUCUUUAAAUAGAACCUUCAGGUCAUAAGAGUCUAAGAUGGCGGACCAAACAAAAGAGGUGAAAAAGCAUCAGACCAACACAGAAAAACCAGACGACAAUGGAUCAGACUGUUCUAAUCUCAAUUCUAAAGAAUAAACUAGAAAAACGUCACCUGAAUUUAAUCCUACUAAUGAAUACUCAGUGAAUAUCGCUCUCAAAGUGGCCACAUCUUUGCUCCAGUCUGUCUUUCUUGAAAAUAGGCCUGUUGUACUGCCUGUUCAUUUUCAGUUAGCUGGGGUUUCGCAACCCCAGGUUGGUGAGGCAGGGUUAUCUCCCUUUGCCUGCUUCGAGCACAGUCUCCAUGGCAUGUCACUGGUCCUAAAUAGGGAUGCAGCGAUUAACCGGUUUCACAAUUAACCUCGCUUUAAAAUGUCACGGUUAAUCGUAAAGGCUCCGCUACACCGAGUGUUUCUGUUGCACAGAACGGAACAGUUGCAACUUGUCUGAAAACAAAGUUAAACUAGCGGUGCACCAGCUUAAAAUGCUGUGCUUAUCAGAGACAUGGAGGCUACUACACACACUAGAUUAACUAUGACAGAGGAACCAAACAGCGAUCCUUUAUUUCCACCAGAGAAACGAAUAAAGUCGAUAGUGUGGGACUAUUUUGGAUACACCAAGAAUGACCAGGGUGUCAUUUAAAUAUUGCCAUAAAAACUGCUGCUAAAGAGCGAAUACACGGCUUUAAACUAUUUUAAUGCACAACGUGAAGGCAAGACUGACACGAAGCUACGGCUCAUUAGCUCAGCAUUCUGCCCGCUUCAGAUCAGACAGAUGAAAUAAUGCAGUAAGAUCACAUUUAUUUGAAUUAAUAAUAACAUUUAGCUACUUUAAUUAAUUAUUUGAUCGUGAGCGAGAGAGAGAGAGAAGUGUGUGUGUGUGUGUGUGUGUGAACCUGCGUCAUCGCGUCUCUUUAGUUAAACAGUGAUUUUACCCCCUCAUUGCUGAUGAAUAUGA
Cyprinus carpio carpio is the source of this 1436-nucleotide long non-coding RNA. The record is from Ensembl. Lineage: Eukaryota; Metazoa; Chordata; Actinopteri; Cypriniformes; Cyprinidae.